This 429-nucleotide ribosomal RNA is filed under the name Acidobacteriota bacterium. Its description in RNAcentral is "Acidobacteria bacterium partial 16S ribosomal RNA". It matches the Rfam family "Bacterial small subunit ribosomal RNA", at positions 355 to 776 of the family's 1533-position model. Lineage: Bacteria; Pseudomonadati; Acidobacteriota. The record is from RNAcentral.
UGGGGAAUUUUGGACAAUGGGGGAAACCCUGAUCCAGCCAUCCCGCGUGUGCGAUGAAGGCCUUCGGGUUGUAAAGCACUUUUGGCAGGAAAGAAACGUCAUGGGUUAAUACCCCGUGAAACUGACGGUACCUGCAGAAUAAGCACCGGCUAACUACGUGCCAGCAGCCGCGGUAAUACGUAGGGUGCAAGCGUUAAUCGGAAUUACUGGGCGUAAAGCGUGCGCAGGCGGUUCGGAAAGAAAGAUGUGAAAUCCCAGAGCUCAACUUUGGAACUGCAUUUUUAACUACCGGGCUAGAGUGUGGCAGAGGGAGGUGGAAUUCCGCGUGUAGCAGUGAAAUGCGUAGAUAUGCGGAGGAACACCGAUGGCAAAGGCAGCCUCCUGGGAUGACACUGACGCUCAUGCACGAAAGCGUGGGGAGCAAACAGG